RNAcentral lists this ribosomal RNA (255 nucleotides) under uncultured bacterium. Its description in RNAcentral is "partial 16S ribosomal RNA". It matches the Rfam family "Bacterial small subunit ribosomal RNA", at positions 524 to 776 of the family's 1533-position model. The record is from RNAcentral.
GACGUAGGGCGCGAGCGUUGUCCGGAUUUAUUGGGCGUAAAGAGCUCGUAGGCGGCUCGGUAAGUCAGGUGUGAAACCUCCAGGCUCAACCUGGAGACGCCACCUGAUACUGCUGUGGCUAGGGUCUGGUAGGGGAGCGGUGGAAUUCCUGGUGUAGCGGUGAAAUGCGCAGAUAUCAGGAGGAACACCAGCGGCGAAGGCGGCGCUCUGGGCCGGAACUGACGCUGAGGAGCGAAAGCGUGGGUAGCAAACAGG